Non-coding RNA from Paramuricea clavata, 213 nucleotides. NCBI's taxonomy places the organism in Eukaryota, Metazoa, Cnidaria, Anthozoa, Malacalcyonacea, Plexauridae. The record is from the annotation of a GenBank genome assembly.
GUCAACAACUUGUAACAAGCUUGAUGGAAUUAUCAGACAUGUUGCAAGGUUGUUCAUGUUACAAGUCUGAUACAGUCAUGAUAUAACAAGACUGUUACAAGGUUGACGACACAAGGUUGUAACAAUAUUGUUAUAUCAUGACUGUAACGGACUUGUUGGAACAACCUUGUAACAAGUCUGAUAAUAUCAAUAAGGUUGUUACAAGUUGUUGAC